UACGAAGGGGGCGAGCGUUGUUCGGAAUUACUGGGCGUAAAGGGCGCGUAGGCGGCCCCUUUUGUCGCGUGUGAAAGCCCCCGGGCUCAACCUGGGAGGUGCGCGCGAAACGGGGGGGCUUGAGUUCGGGAGAGGAGAGUGGAAUUCCCAGUGUAGAGGUGAAAUUCGUAGAUAUUGGGAAGAACACCGGUGGCGAAGGCGGCUCUCUGGACCGAGACUGACGCUGAGGCGCGAAAGCGUGGGGAGCAAACAGGG
Molecule: ribosomal RNA, 255 nt
Filed under: uncultured bacterium
Lineage: Bacteria
Description: partial 16S ribosomal RNA
Rfam family: Bacterial small subunit ribosomal RNA
Source: RNAcentral